GGAAUAAGGUUUGUUCAGCAUGAAGAAGAUGAGACCUUGGGGGAAAUCUUAGCAAAACUGGAAGGGCAGUUAGAAAGAAGACAGCACUGGAUGUUACUCAACAGCUGACAUUGAAGUUGGCCCUGUUCUGAUCAGGGAGCUAGGCUGGAGCACUCCAGAGGCUCCUUCCAACUUGAAUUAUUCUAUGAGUCUCUGAAAAACAAGGAUAACGGGUCAUAAUUUUAGGUGGGGAAUAGAUGAAUAGAGAAAAAAAUGAGCAACAGAGUCCAUUGGUGGGUCCUGCCUCCUGCACUGGAGCUGAAGAAGGGAUUUGGCAGCAUAAGUGUCCAGAGAGAUGGUACAAGUGCUUGGUGAUGUCAGAAGCAAGUGGAGCUGGUCAGAACAUGCAGAUCUGAAUUCACAUCAUAUUUGCUUUAAUAUGUAUAUAUAUAUAUAGCUCGAGAUUAAAAUUAAAGGUUUCAAAAUUUUUAAUGAAAAUUCUGAAAAAUGUAGAGCUGGGAAUUGUUUGUUUCAUAAGGCCAGAGCUUCAGUUUGAAUUCAGUUCUUUCUGUUGCAGUAAACACAUUCUGGUACAGCAACAAAUCAUUGCAAAGUUCAGUUCAGUUUUAUUAUCUUUGUUCUGGAGAAGAUGAGGAAAUGUUUAAAUCAGCCAUUGCUAAAUAAUAUCCGCCUCAGUUUUACUAAAGUAAAACAUAUCAAAAGUAAAUGUUUUAGGCUGUUGAAACUAAUAAAUAUUUUCAUGUUUUGGCACAUCAAGUAGUGCUGGAGCACAGGAAGAAAAUAAGACAAAAUAAUGUAAUUAACUUCUUGAAAUUCCAGAAGACAACUAUGAGACGGCAGACAAGCUAUAGCAUUGCUGAACUGGACCCAUCACCCCUAAAUCAAGCUCCUUUCCUGCUUGGGAGCAAUGCUGCCCAGCGAGAUGAAGAGCCAGAAAGCCUCCUGCUUCCUCGCACAGCUCAUGAGGAAGCUUUCUAGUGGCUACAACAGAGGUUUAAUGACAUCACAUGUUUGUGUGCUGCAGAACGUGUCACUUCAUUUGGUUUGCAUCACGCACUUCCUACCCGCCUUCAGCAGACCUCUGGCCUCACCCACACGAGGGACAAUUCAACUGGAAUAUCCACGCUCCUGCUUUGGAGCAACCCCUGCGUGGGAUAGCUUCGUUAACACCAGCAGAGGCUCUGCUGCUGUGGACGCUCAUGUUUUGCUCUAGGAAUGGUACCAGAAACACAUAUGUUUCAAGCUGUUUCGUCUGUUUCAAGCUGUCUAUCCCCAACAGGACACAAACCUAAAGAAGUCUGAGCCCGAGCUGAACUUUUGAACCGUAUUAUAUCUGAAUGGACUAGAGAUUAGGUCAAGGGAAUUUACAACCCAUCUUUCAUCGAGAGAUGAGGCCUCUCUUCCUUGUUUAUUAUUCCUACAGCAUUUACAUUUUUAGAAAUAAUAUUGAUUAAAAAAAAAAUAAAAAUCUGCUGUUAUUGGAACUGUCA
RNAcentral lists this long non-coding RNA (1490 nucleotides) under Anas platyrhynchos platyrhynchos (common mallard). RNAcentral describes it as "lncRNA (ENSAPLG00000019285.1)". The record is from RNAcentral. Lineage: Eukaryota; Metazoa; Chordata; Aves; Anseriformes; Anatidae.